This 492-nucleotide ribosomal RNA is filed under the name uncultured bacterium. Its description in RNAcentral is "partial 16S ribosomal RNA". It matches the Rfam family "Bacterial small subunit ribosomal RNA", at positions 29 to 507 of the family's 1533-position model. The record is from RNAcentral.
AGUGAACGCUGGCGGUAGGCCUAACACAUGCAAGUCGAACGGCAGCACAGUAAGAGCUUGCUCUUACGGGUGGCGAGUGGCGGACGGGUGAGGAAUACAUCGGAAUCUACUUUUUCGUGGGGGAUAACGUAGGGAAACUUACGCUAAUACCGCAUACGACCUACGGGUGAAAGCAGGGGAUCUUCGGACCUUGCGCGAUUGAAUGAGCCGAUGUCGGAUUAGCUAGUUUGCGGGGUAAAGGCCCACCAAGGCGACGAUCCGUAGCUGGUCUGAGAGGAUGGUCAGCCACACUGGAACUGAGACACGGUCCAGACUCCUACGGGAGGCAGCAGUGGGGAAUAUUGGACAAAGGGGGCAAGCCUGAUCCAGCCAUACCGCGUGGGUGAAGAAGGCCUUCGGGUUGUAAAGCCCUUUUGUUGGGAAAGAAAAGCAGCAGGUUAAUACCCCGCUGUUCUGACGGUACCCAAAGAAUAAGCACCGGCUAACUUCGUG